Long non-coding RNA from Conger conger (European conger), 1918 nucleotides. RefSeq lists it as uncharacterized. The transcript has 3 exons. Lineage: Eukaryota; Metazoa; Chordata; Actinopteri; Anguilliformes; Congridae. The record is from RefSeq and is a predicted model, not a curated record.
CAGUGAUUUAACGUCUCAUCCGAAAGACAUUUCUGUGAAAUAGAUUCAUCAUAUAUUUCAAAGGGUCCACACAAUAUAUUGCAGCAUAUUCCAUUUUUGUAAAGGUGUAGGGACAUGGUCAGUUAAGAGUGAAAUGAUCCUAGAUUGACAAUUAUACAUUCAUAUUCUGCUUUAUUGAAUAGCAUGUGUGUAUGAAGACAAUGUACAUACAGUGUUAACAAAUUAUACAUAAGUUACUACUUACCACUUUUAAUCAUUCAGGUGUGCCAAAGACUGAGAUGGGAGAACAUCGUGAACCAAAUUUGGUUCGAAGAAUGAUGAGGGUAGAUGGUCAUUUAGUAAUUGUUCAUCUUUAUUCAGGAUAGGCAUUUAUGAGAGUCAUGGCACUUGUUUACAAAUGCACUUAAGAUCUGUUUAAAAUGUUUUGUUGCAGUAAUUGUCAGGAGUGUUAACAGGUCUUUUUUACCCAUCGUCUUAUCUACAAUCUCCAGUGGAAUAGUCCUGGUAACCAACUUAAAUCGUUAAUUUUCAACCAGGGGAGUUCAUUUUCCACAAAAGGUUUUUGCGUGUUUUGUUGCUAAUAUUUUUAACUGUAAAUACUAGUUACUCCCCAUCACCUCCCUUACAGGUGCAUCUCAAAAAAGUAUAAUAUCGUGGAAAUGUAAAUUUUUCCCGUAAUUUAAUUAAAAAAGUGAAACUUUCAUAUAUUCUAGAUUCAUUAAACAUAAAGUUAAAUAUUUCAAUCCUUUCUUUUGUUCCAGUAUCUCAAAAUAUAAUAAUAUUACAUAAGAACAAUCAAAAAAAGGAUUUAUAAUAAAGAAAUGUCGACCUUCUGAAAAGUAUGUUAAUUUAUGUAGUCAAUACUUGGUCGGACAAUCAUGGGGAAGACUGCUGACUUAAACAAAAGAAACAAGAUUAAAACAAAAAAAGGCUUGAAAUAUUUCACUUCACUUUUUGAAUUAAAUUACGAAAAAAAAAAAAAAAAAAACUUUUCCACGAUAUUCAAAUUUUUUUUAGAUGCACCUGUAAAUCCUGUAUCCUUUACUUACAGGAAGCCAGACCCCUGAGCCCAUAUUCGCUGUGCAUUUCUCCGUGGCAUGGCUCGCUCGCCACCAUGUGGACAAAUCUGAUAUUGCAAUUACCUCUGAGCCUGCCAGAUGCAACGGGACUCUUCGCCUUCAAUCUGGUCUUCAGCAAAUGAAAUGCAUGCUCACUUGGAUUGAGGUCAGGUGAUUGACUUGGCCAGUCAAGAAAAUUCCACUGUUUGGUCCAAAGAAACUCCUUGGUUGCAUUGGCUCUAUGUUUUGGACCACUGACCUGCUGCUCGAUGAAGCGUUGUCCAAUCUGUUCGAUUCAUCCUGCCACUGGAAUCAGCAGUGACAUCAUCAAUGAACACAAGCGAGCCAGUUCCAGUGGCAGCCAUACAUGCCCGAGCCAUAACCCUACCUCCGCCAUGUUUGUCAGAUGAGCUAAAAGCACUAGGGUUUCCUGAAGGAUGGUCAUACAGGCUUACUUCGCCUGUGAGAAGAACGAGAACCUGGCAGCAAACCUCCUUUUACAACAGAACUUUGAUGAUGAUUAAAGGGAGAUGUGGGAAUUUUGCCCCAUCCGGGCAACUUCGCUCCAAAAUGUAGGGGCAGAAGGUCAGUAUAAUGUCACUGAUUUAUAUGAGGAAUGUAGAGGAGUCUAUGUUUAUGCGAACUGGGGGGCUCCUAUGGUGGUUAAACAAUAAUGGUUUAGCUAACUAUGGAAGAAAUUGAAAAAUAAUGUGAAUUGGGGGAGCUAUCUCCUUAGUUAAACAAUAAUGGUUUGGUUAACCAAUAAUGGUUUAUUGCUCUCAUGGACCCAUUUACUGUUUGGAAGAGUGUCACCCCCUAAGCCCCCUUCCCCAGCAGAAUAAUAAAAUGGCAGGAUAAUG